GCGGCGGACGGGUGAGUAACGCGUAGGCAACCUGCCCCGUACAGAGGGAUAGCCUACGGGAAACCGGGAUUAAAAACCUCAUAAUACCAUGGUAUCACAUGAUGCAAUGGUCAAAGAUUUAUCGGUAUGGGAUGGGCCUGCGUCUGAUUAGCUGGUUGGUGGGGUAACGGCCUACCAAGGCAACGAUCAGUAGCCGACCUGAGAGGGUAAUCGGCCACAUUGGAACUGAGACACGGUCCAAACUCCUACGGGAGGCAGCAGUGGGGAAUAUUGCACAAUGGGCGAAAGCCUGAUGCAGCAACGCCGCGUGAGCGAAGAAGGCCUUUGGGUCGUAAAGCUCUGUCGGGAAGGAAGAUAAUGACGGUACUUCCCGAGGAACGCCCCGGCUAACUACGUGCCAGCAGCUGC
This 408-nucleotide ribosomal RNA is filed under the name uncultured bacterium. RNAcentral describes it as "bacterial SSU rRNA". It matches the Rfam family "Bacterial small subunit ribosomal RNA", at positions 95 to 518 of the family's 1533-position model. The record is from RNAcentral.